RNAcentral lists this ribosomal RNA (451 nucleotides) under uncultured bacterium. RNAcentral's name for it is "partial 16S ribosomal RNA". It matches the Rfam family "Bacterial small subunit ribosomal RNA", at positions 28 to 507 of the family's 1533-position model. The record is from RNAcentral.
GAUGAAUGCUGGCGGCGUGCCUAACACAUGCAAGUCGAGCGGCAGCGAGGGGUGCUUGCACCCUGUCGGCGAGCGGCGAACGGCUGAGUAACGCGUAGGAAUUUGCCCCAAAGUGAGGAAUAUCUGCCCGAAAGGGUAGCUAAUGCCGCAUAUGGUCUUCGGAUUAAAGGAUUUAUCCGCUUUGGGAGAAGCCUGCGUUGGAUUAGGUUGUUGGUAGGGUAAUGGCCUACCAAGCCGACGAUCCAUAGCUGGUCUGAGAGGAUGAUCAGCCAGACUGGAACUGAGACACGGUCCAGACUCCUACGGGAGGCAGCAGUGAGGAAUCUUCCACAAUGGGCGAAAGCCUGAUGGAGCAACGCCGCGUGAAGGAUGAAGGCCUUCGGGUUGUAAACUUCUUUUAUGAGUGAAGAAUAUGACGGUAACUCAUGAAUAAGCACCGGCUAACUACGUG